UCGGGUUUUUUUUCCAACACCAAACCAAGUCAAACCAAAUCAUAGUCGGGUUUUUUUUCUCGGUUUGACUCGGAUUAUCGGGUUGGUGCGUUUUAUCGGUUUUCUUUGUACACCCUGUUGGGAAUAAAACCCCUACCAAAUAAUAUUCACGGUAAUAAAAGCGGAAUAAUAAUGUAGCACCGAGCUACAGUAAUUAACAAGAAUAAAAGAGUAAUAAUGACACCAAGAUUUUUACGUGGAAAACCCUUUUGAAUAAGGGAAAAAACCACGGCCCUGAGAGGAGCAACUGAUAUCACUAUAGUAAGGAAUUUUACACUUUCUAGGUC
This 326-nucleotide long non-coding RNA is filed under the name Nicotiana benthamiana. RNAcentral describes it as "long non-coding RNA (NBEN_LNC035653)". The record is from RNAcentral. Lineage: Eukaryota; Viridiplantae; Streptophyta; Magnoliopsida; Solanales; Solanaceae.